UGCAGCUGCUCAGCUUUUCAGCAUGUCUCUUUUGCCUGAUGUGUCCUUUAAGAGGCAAUGGCACAUAUAGCUUCACACAUUGGGUUGCUCUACCUUUGUGCAGCAGUUCUUUACUCUGUAAAAUGUUCUUCUCAGUACACAAAAGCAGCUGCUGAAGAAACAGCUUCAGACUGAGAGUGCGAGAACCGACGGCAGCACCGCUAAGCAACCUCCAGUGGAGACAGAGAAGAGAGACGGAUAAGUGCACAGACGCCCACAGGAGUUUCUGUAAGAGACAAAAUUAUCAGCUUGGCUCACCUCAGCUUUAUUUCCUAUUUCCAGACCCCCAGUCACAGAGUGAGGUUUAGUGUAUACCACUGAGGAGAAGCUUGCCACGUUGAAAGCAUACGUAUCAUGCCAACGAUAUCCAGAAGUGUGAAGAAAUCCUUUCUUUCAUGAUGAACAGAAAAGAAGCUGGAAACAAGGGGCCAGGUCCAAAUCCUUUAACCCCCGAAUAACUAAGCUAUGUUAAGAACUACUAUAUAGGGCUAUCUUAUGAGAACUAUUCUAAAAUAAAGGAGAAGGGAUGGAGAACAAGAGACCCAGGACAGCUUGCCAUGGCAAAGACAUUAGGGAUGAGAGAAUGAGGAUGAGAAGACCCGAUUCUUUUGGAAAGAGAACUACAUUCAACAAGGACUCUCAUUUGCUCAGCACACUCAUGUAAAAUAUAUCACCAUAAUAAAAUCAUUUAAAAUUAAGUGUUUCUCAUACAUUAUUAUUUUAAAGCAAGUAGUAGUCAAAAGCUGGCAGCUGAUGGACAAAUGGCAUUUACCAGAACACAUGUUCAUUGAAACACAAAAUCCAUUUAAAAGAGAGGUUAUUUGUACUAUUAUGCUUAGAAA
Long non-coding RNA from Alligator mississippiensis (American alligator), 881 nucleotides. RefSeq lists it as uncharacterized. The transcript has 3 exons. NCBI's taxonomy places the organism in Eukaryota, Metazoa, Chordata, Crocodylia, Alligatoridae. The record is from RefSeq and is a predicted model, not a curated record.